GCCAGCCCUAGGCUGAUCCCCGAAAAACCCGUUUCCCUGACGGGCUGGGCUGGCACCUCAAUUCAGGG
RNAcentral lists this small RNA (68 nucleotides) under Hydrogenophaga sp. IBVHS1. RNAcentral describes it as "int-alpA RNA". It matches the Rfam family "int-alpA RNA". From Rfam's summary of the family: Acidobacteria (1 example), Planctomycetes (1 example), Proteobacteria. Environment (Lake Washington) Lineage: Bacteria; Pseudomonadati; Pseudomonadota; Betaproteobacteria; Burkholderiales; Comamonadaceae. The record is from Rfam by way of RNAcentral.